CCUCAACAAGAGUUCCCGGGUGGCCGCGUGGUUUGCGCGGCCUAAAGGGAAUCCCGUGAGAAUCGGGAGCGGGACCGCCACUGUAACCCCGAUUCGCCAGAUGGCGAAUCAAAGCCCUCAGCCAGGAAGCCACUGUCUCGAGCCUGUCUCGGGAUGGGAAGGCGGCUGGGGGUCGGGGAAGCCAGGAGACCGGCCCGGGAACUCCUCACAGA
Molecule: non-coding RNA, 212 nt
Filed under: Nitrospirota bacterium
Lineage: Bacteria; Pseudomonadati; Nitrospirota
Source: RNAcentral